UGCAGUCGGACGAGAAGGUACCUUCGGGUACUGGAGAGUGGCGCACGGGUGAGUAACGCGUGGGGACCUACCUCUUAGUGGGGGAUAACGGUUGGAAACGACCGCUAAUACCGCAUACGCCCUUCGGGGGAAAGAUUUAUCGCUAAGAGAUGGACCCGCGUUGGAUUAGAUAGUUGGUGAGGUAACGGCUCACCAAGUCGGCGAUCCAUAGCUGGUUUGAGAGGAUGAUCAGCCACACUGGGACUGAGACACGGCCCAGACUCCUACGGGAGGCAGCAGUGGGGAAUAUUGGACAAUGGGGGCAACCCUGAUCCAGCCAUGCCGCGUGAGUGAAGAAGGCCUUCGGGUUGUAAAGCUCUUUCAGAUGCGAAGAUGAUGACGGUAACAUCAGAAGAAGCCCCGGCUAAUUUCGUGCCAGCUG
This 421-nucleotide ribosomal RNA is filed under the name Thalassospira tepidiphila. RNAcentral's name for it is "bacterial SSU rRNA". It matches the Rfam family "Bacterial small subunit ribosomal RNA", at positions 56 to 514 of the family's 1533-position model. The record is from RNAcentral. Lineage: Bacteria; Pseudomonadati; Pseudomonadota; Alphaproteobacteria; Rhodospirillales; Thalassospiraceae.